UGGGGAAUCUUGCACAAUGGGCGAAAGCCUGAUGCAGCAACGCCGCGUGAGGGAUGAAGGCCUUCGGGUUGUAAACCUCUUUCAGCAGGGACGAAGCGCAAGUGACGGUACCUGCAGAAGAAGCACCGGCUAACUACGUGCCAGCAGCCGCGGUAAUACGUAGGGUGCACGCGUUGUCCGGAAUUACUGGGCGUAAAGAGUUCGUAGGCGGUUUGUCGAGUCGUUUGUGAAAACCAGCAGCUCAAACGCUGGCUUGCAGGCGAUACGGGCAGACUUGAGUGCUGAAGGGGAGACUGGAAUUCCUGGUGUAGCGGUGAAAUGCGCAGAUAUCAGGAGGAACACCGGUGGAGAAGGCGGGUCUCUGGGCAGUAACUGACGCUGAGGAACGAAAGCGUGGGUAGCGAACAGG
RNAcentral lists this ribosomal RNA (409 nucleotides) under Bacillota bacterium. RNAcentral describes it as "Firmicutes bacterium partial 16S ribosomal RNA". It matches the Rfam family "Bacterial small subunit ribosomal RNA", at positions 355 to 776 of the family's 1533-position model. Lineage: Bacteria; Bacillati; Bacillota. The record is from RNAcentral.